GGCUCGUUGGUCUAGGGGUAUGAUUCUCGCUUUGGGUGUGAGAGGUCCCAGAAUCAAAUCCAGGAUGAGCCC
This 72-nucleotide transfer RNA is filed under the name Danionella cerebrum. Its description in RNAcentral is "tRNA-Pro". The record is from RNAcentral. Lineage: Eukaryota; Metazoa; Chordata; Actinopteri; Cypriniformes; Danionidae.